UGCCUCGUUAUUCAGCUGCUGGACACAUCUUGUGGUGUGUCUGGAAUGGAGCAACGUGGCUAGAGGAGCAACAGGUUGUGCUUUCCUCACUGUAAGGGUGGUUGCAGUGGUGACAAUGAGGCCUGGAACAGGG
Small nucleolar RNA from Nothoprocta perdicaria, 133 nucleotides. The record is from Ensembl. Lineage: Eukaryota; Metazoa; Chordata; Aves; Tinamiformes; Tinamidae.